UAAUACAUGCAAGUCGAGCGGACCGACGGGAGCUUGCUCCCUUAGGUCAGCGGCGGACGGGUGAGUAACACGUGGGUAACCUGCCUGUAAGACUGGGAUAACUCCGGGAAACCGGGGCUAAUACCGGAUGCUUGAUUGAACCGCAUGGUUCCAAUCAUAAAAGGUGGCUUUCAGCUACCACUUACUGAUGGACCCGCGGCGCAUUAGCUAGUUGGUGAGGUAACGGCUCACCAAGGCGACGAUGCGUAGCCGACCUGAGAGGGUGAUCGGCCACACUGGGACUGAGACACGGCCCAGACUCCUACGGGAGGCAGCAGUAGGGAAUCUUCCGCAAUGGACGAAAGUCUGACGGAGCAACGCCGCGUGAGUGAUGAAGGUUUUCGGAUCGUAAAACUCUGUUGUUAGGGAAGAACAAGUACCGUUCGAAUAGGGCGGCACCUUGACGGUACCUAACCAGAAAGCCACGGCUAACUACGUGCCAGCAGCCGCGGUAAUACGUAGGUGGCAAGCGUUGUCCGGAAUUAUUGGGCGUAAAGCGCGCGCAGGCGGUUUCUUAAGUCUGAUGUGAAGCCCCCGGCUCAACCGGGGAGGGUCAUUGGAAACUGGGGAACUUGAGUGCAGAAGAGGAGAGUGGAAUUCCACGUGUAGCGGUGAAAUGCGUAGAGACGUGGAGGACACCAGUGGCGAAGG
Molecule: ribosomal RNA, 690 nt
Filed under: uncultured Bacilli bacterium
Lineage: Bacteria; Bacillati; Bacillota; Bacilli
Description: bacterial SSU rRNA
Rfam family: Bacterial small subunit ribosomal RNA
Source: RNAcentral